Rhinopithecus roxellana (golden snub-nosed monkey) is the source of this 1926-nucleotide long non-coding RNA. RefSeq lists it as uncharacterized. NCBI's taxonomy places the organism in Eukaryota, Metazoa, Chordata, Mammalia, Primates, Cercopithecidae. The record is from RefSeq and is a predicted model, not a curated record. The transcript is spliced from 3 exons.
UCCUCGGCCUCCCAAAGUGCUGGGUUACAGAUGUGAGCCACUACACCCAGCCUAAUUUGUGUCAAAUCUUGUGUCAAAUCUUAAAUCAUUUGGCAAAGUACAUAUGAGCACAUAGUAUUUCAUUCAAUUGGAGUUUCUUGGAUGUUUUCUUCAAGAUAUUUGCAGUUGCUGCCCCCUUCUUAAACUCUGGGUACUGGAAUCUUUUUAAUUCUCAAUAUGAGUAGAACUUUCUGAGCCAUAAAUUAAAUGGGAACUUGACCUGCAUGGCCACUGUGUAUGGCCCAGAGCUGAGCAGACAGCCAUAGUCAUUUUAUUAUUUGCAUAUUGGGGACUGAACAAAUGAGUAAAUAAAUUGAGGAUAUUUGAAACCAGGCUUUUUGCUUUUGGAGAAGGGGACAGAAGAGACAAUUCAGCAAGAGUCUGUAUUAAGGGAGCCUGAGCCACCUAUACAAGAAACCUUCUCAUGCCUUCUAGACCUCAUUGAGCCCAGAUGAUAGAUUGGUAAAAGACUGCCAUACAUAUGCCCAAUCUUACAGCUUCCUGGGACAGAAAAUGCCCAGUUCAUUCUGAGAAGCUCAGCCUGUGUGGUUACUUGAUGUUCCAUGAUUAAGUGUUAAAAGGGACUGUCUAGGCCGGGUGUGGUGCCUCACGUCUGUAAUCCCAGCACUUUGGGAGGCCGAGACGGGCAGAUCAUGAGGUCAGGAGAUCAAGACUCCGUCUCAAAAAAAAACUGUCUACAGAAAAGGACGUGGAUAUGUUUCAAAUCCCUAGAGACCUGUACUCAGUUCUCUUGCUGAUUCUAACCACAGGGUUCAGACAGCAGUGAUAUUUGCCACAGACACACUAAGCAUUAUCAGAUAUGCUGGGUUAUUAGGCCGAAGUGGAAGAGCAGUUUGCCCUAUAACCUGGAAUUACUGCAGAACAGUCUCUUAUUCUGGUCCUCACUUAAAACAGGUAGCAUCUCUGCCUUACUUGGCAAAAGGUCAAAGUAGCACAAUGAAAUAAAGUGUACGUUGGCUCCUAAAUCCAGAAAGAUCCACCAAGCAUUAUUUUGCACUGGUAGGUGGUUUAAGGUACAGCACCAUAUCCUUCAUUUUGGAAGGGCUAUCCAGACAUGCUCCAGACCAUUAGUCCCCCAGAAACUCCACUGAGGUGGCAUGCCCCUAAAUUUUGAUGGGGAUUAUCUCCCACUCUCUGGUUUGCAUGCUGAGGGCUGAUUACUAAGGCAUCUAAAGUACAUUUAUUUCCUACUCACCAGAUCAGACACCAUCAGCAUAAUGUCAUCGCUGCAGUGGACCAGUGUGACAUGUGGAACAUCAAGAUGGUCAGGAUUUUUGCAGAUUCCAUAUGGCAAAAUAUAUAGAGGGAGAUCUGGAGAUACUGAGACCCGGAACAGAGACACAAGGAAGGUCAUGUGAAGGCAGAGGCAGAGACUGAAGAAUACUGUCAAAAGCCACAGAUUGCCAGGAACUACCAGAAACUGAGAGGCAAGGAAGGAUCCCUGCCAAGAAUCUUCAGAGGCAGCAUGGCCCUCCCACAGCUUGAUUUUAGACUCCAAGUCUCCAGAAUUGUGAGAGAAUCUCAGCCUGGCCAGAAGCCUUCUUUGUGGGGAAUGAGAGGCCUUUCCAUCUAUCCAGAGUGACCUACCAGAGAUAGGACAGUUUGCCCAGCAAGUUUCUGAUCACUCUUCAACACCCAGCAAGAAGUCUCAUCCUCCAUGCAGCCUUCUAAGACCUCUCUAAAUACUGGUAUCAGACCCUCCUCUGGAGCACUCUGUCUUGUUACUGCAUUUAUCUCGCUGGAUUUCAGUGAAGUGUGUAGACAACUAAUUUGUGCCUGCCUGAUCUGUAAGCUCUUCAUUCAAAGCAGUUGGCUCCUGAGUACAGGAUAAACCCCUAGAAUUGAAUAAAUUUGGUCUUACCUCAU